Molecule: non-coding RNA, 181 nt
Organism: Anas platyrhynchos (mallard)
Lineage: Eukaryota; Metazoa; Chordata; Aves; Anseriformes; Anatidae
Source: RefSeq, a predicted model, not a curated record
CCACUCUCCCCAAGCUGACUUUAAUUGGAGUAGUUCCAAAAUUAUUCUCUGCCCCCCUACAUCUGGGGAAGAGCUGUUCACCUUUGAUUUCCAAGGAAGAAAAAAGAAGGUGAAAUCAACAAUUCUCCUCCUCCGAGUUGGGAAUAGGAAAUAAGCCCAAUUAUUUAGGAAGCCUGAAAAA